This 253-nucleotide ribosomal RNA is filed under the name uncultured bacterium. RNAcentral describes it as "partial 16S ribosomal RNA". It matches the Rfam family "Bacterial small subunit ribosomal RNA", at positions 524 to 776 of the family's 1533-position model. The record is from RNAcentral.
UACGUAGGCAGCAAGCGUUGUUCGGAAUUACUGGGCGUAAAGAGUGUGUAGGCGGUGUUCUAAGUCUGUUGUGAAAUCUCCCGGCUUAACUGGGAGGGUGCGGCGGAGACUGGAAUGCUAGAGUGUGGGAGAGGUAAGCGGAAUUCCUGGUGUAGCGGCGAAAUGCGUAGAUAUCAGGAGGAACACCAAUGGCGAAGGCAGCACUCUGGGACGUGACUGACGCUGAGACGCGAAAGCGUGGGGAGCAAACAGG